UGAGUAAUGUCUGGGAAACUGCCUGAUGGAGGGGGAUAACUACUGGAAACGGUAGCUAAUACCGCAUAACGUCGCAAGACCAAAGUGGGGGACCUUCGGGCCUCAUGCCAUCAGAUGUGCCCAGAUGGGAUUAGCUAGUAGGUGGGGUAAUGGCUCACCUAGGCGACGAUCCCUAGCUGGUCUGAGAGGAUGACCAGCCACACUGGAACUGAGACACGGUCCAGACUCCUACGGGAGGCAGCAGUGGGGAAUAUUGCACAAUGGGCGCAAGCCUGAUGCAGCCAUGCCGCGUGUAUGAAGAAGGCCUUCGGGUUGUAAAGUACUUUCAGCGAGGAGGAA
RNAcentral lists this ribosomal RNA (339 nucleotides) under Klebsiella aerogenes. RNAcentral describes it as "bacterial SSU rRNA". It matches the Rfam family "Bacterial small subunit ribosomal RNA", at positions 107 to 449 of the family's 1533-position model. The record is from RNAcentral. Lineage: Bacteria; Pseudomonadati; Pseudomonadota; Gammaproteobacteria; Enterobacterales; Enterobacteriaceae.